This 440-nucleotide ribosomal RNA is filed under the name uncultured bacterium. Its description in RNAcentral is "partial 16S ribosomal RNA". It matches the Rfam family "Bacterial small subunit ribosomal RNA", at positions 338 to 795 of the family's 1533-position model. The record is from RNAcentral.
CCUACGGGAGGCUGCAGUGGGGGAUAUUGCACAAUGGGGGAAACCCUGAUGCAGCGACGCCGCGUGUGGGAAGACGGUCCUCUGGAUUGUAAACCACUGUCCCCAGGGACGAAGAUGACGGUACCUGGGGAGGAAGCUCCUGCUAACUACGUGCCAGCAGCCGCGGUAAUACGUAGGGAGCGAGCGUGUUCCGGAAUUACUGGGUGUAAAGGGAGCGUAGGCGGGGAAGCAAGUUGGGUGUCAAAACUACCGGCUCAACUGGUAGUCGCACGCAAAACUGCAGCUCUUGAGUGAAGUAGAGGCAGGCGGAAUUCCUAGUGUAGCGGUGAAAUGCGUAGAUAUUAGGAAGAACACCAGUUGCGAAGGCGGCCUGCUGGGCUUUUACUGACGCUGAGGCUCGAAAGUGUGGGGAGCAAACAGGAUUAGAUACCCGGGUAGUC